UGGGGAAUUUUGGACAAUGGGCGCAAGCCUGAUCCAGCAAUGCCGCGUGCAGGAUGAAGGCUUUCGGGUUGUAAACUGCUUUUGUACGGAGCGAAAAGGUCUGCCCUAAUACGGUGGGCUCAUGACGGUACCGUAAGAAUAAGCACCGGCUAACUACGCGCCAGCAGCCGCGGUAAUACGUAGGGUGCACGCGUUAAUCGGAAUUACUGGGCGCAAAGCGUGCGCAGGCGGUUAUGCAAGACAGAGGUGAAAUCCCCGCGCUAAACCUGGGAACUGCCUUUGUGACUGCAUAGCUAGAGUACGGUAGAGGGGGAUGGAAGUCCGCUUGUAGCAGUGAAAUGCGUAGAUAUGCGGAGGAACACCGAUGGCGAAGGCAAUCCCCUGGACCUGUACUGACGCGCAUGCACGAAAGCGUGGGGAGCAAGCA
This 427-nucleotide ribosomal RNA is filed under the name uncultured bacterium. RNAcentral's name for it is "bacterial SSU rRNA". It matches the Rfam family "Bacterial small subunit ribosomal RNA", at positions 355 to 774 of the family's 1533-position model. The record is from RNAcentral.